AUUGAACGCUGGCGGUAUGCUUAACACAUGCAAGUCGAACGGAAACGAUACUAGCUUGCUAGUAGGCGUCGAGUGGCGGACGGGUGAGUAACGCGUAGGAAUCUGCCUGAUAGUGGGGGAUAGCCCGGAGAAAUUCGGAUUAAUACCGCAUAAUCUAUUCGUAGUAAAGUGGGGGACUUUCGAGCCUCACGCUAUCAGAUGAGCCUGCGUAAGAUUAGCUUGUUGGUAGGGUAAAAGCCUACCAAGGCGACGAUCUUUAGCUGGUCUGAGAGGAUGAUCAGCCACAUCGGGACUGAGACACGGCCCGAACUCCUACGGGAGGCAGCAGUGGGGAAUAUUGGACAAUGGGGGCAACCCUGAUCCAGCAAUACCGCGUGUGUGAAGAAGGCCUGAGGGUUGUAAAGCACUUUCAAUUGUGAAGAAAAGUUAACGGUUAAUAACCGUUAGCCUUGACGUUAACUUUAGAAGAAGCACCGGCUAACUCCG
RNAcentral lists this ribosomal RNA (486 nucleotides) under uncultured Oceanospirillales bacterium. RNAcentral describes it as "bacterial SSU rRNA". It matches the Rfam family "Bacterial small subunit ribosomal RNA", at positions 30 to 505 of the family's 1533-position model. The record is from RNAcentral. Lineage: Bacteria; Pseudomonadati; Pseudomonadota; Gammaproteobacteria; Oceanospirillales.